Molecule: non-coding RNA, 75 nt
Organism: Myotis davidii
Lineage: Eukaryota; Metazoa; Chordata; Mammalia; Chiroptera; Vespertilionidae
Source: Rfam
GGUAGUUCCUGGGUGACACACUCCAGAAUCAGGCUCCCUCCUCUCUGGUUCUGGGUGCAUCACCUGAGAACUGCA